This 379-nucleotide long non-coding RNA is filed under the name Elaeis guineensis (African oil palm). RNAcentral's name for it is "long non-coding RNA (EGUI_LNC041713)". Lineage: Eukaryota; Viridiplantae; Streptophyta; Magnoliopsida; Arecales; Arecaceae. The record is from RNAcentral.
CUAGGCUGACCAAGUGAUCACUGAGUCGACCCAGAGAUCAACUGAGCUGAUCCAGACAGGGACUGAGUUGACCAAGUCACAAUGAAGCAGUCAAGACAGAAGCUAGUUUUUUAGUCACUUGAUAUUGAGUCAACCCAGAGAAAUUUUGAGUUGAUCCAGUGAGGAACUUAGUCGAUCCAGUGAGGGACUUAGUCAACUCAGAGAAAAUUGAGUCGAUCCAGUGACUAUAACGGUUAGUUUUUCAAAACUAUAGUAUUUUGCUCCCAACUUUCUCCCAACGGCUAUUUUCUCAUCUCCAAUAGCUAGAAUACUUAAUACAGCCUCUUCAAAUAUCUUAGAGUGGUGAAAAACCUCAGGGAUAUAAAAGAAACCAUCUUGG